AGUCAUAUCUUUAAUCAGGAAUAGUAAAGCAUUAUGCUCGAAGGGUGGCUUUAAAUUACACAAGUUCUUGUCAUAUAAGAAAGAAGUUCUAGAAGCAAUAAGCUUAGAGGAAAAGGUUAAAAGUUUAAAGAAUUUAGACCUCUCUAGUGAAGCCUUACCAAUAGAGAGAACUUUAGGAGUAGAAUGGUGCAUUGAAUCAGGUCAGAAUUAGUAUUAAUGACAAACCAAUAACUAGAAGAGGUAUAUUGUCAACAGUGAGUUCUGUUUUUGAUCCUAUGGGUAUGGUCUCACCCUUUAUAUUGAUUGGUAAAAGAAUACUUCAAACUUUGUGUCAAGAUGGAGUAGACUGGGAUAAUGACAUAUCAGAUGACUUGAAACAACAAUGGAGAAGAUGGAGAGAUGAUUUGAUUCAGUUGAAAGAGUUAAAGAUUCCUAGAUGCUACAAGCCUGACGAAUUUAGAAAGGUCAAAUCAAUUGAACUGCAUCAUUUCUCUGAUGCUAGCCAGAAUGGUUAUGGACAGUGCUCUUAUUUAAGGCAAGUAAGUGAGCAGGGACAAGUUCAUUGUGCCCUUGUCAUGGCAAAGUCUAGAGUACACCAUUGAAGCCUAUAACUGUUCCUACGUUAGAACUAACAGCUGCAGUUGUAGCCGUUCGAAUUAGUUCUAUGUUAAAGAGAGAGUUAGGUUACCAGGAACUAAAGGAAUUCUUUUGGACUGAUAGCAAAGUCGUACUUGGCUACAUUUCAAACGAAGCAAAGAGAUUCCAUGUGUUUGUUGCUAACCGAGUGCAGCAUAUUAAAGACCACUCCUCUAUGGAACAAUGGAAAUUUAUUGAGUCAGCUCAAAAUCCUGCUGACGCUGCUUCACGUGGAUUGUAUGUAAAGCAACUGAUUGAACAUUCUCUAUGGUGAAAUGGACCAAACUUCCUCUGGGAACCUGACUAUAAUGCUAAUCCAGCAUUUGUAAAUGUAAAUGUACAAGAGAAUGAUCCAGAGGUCAAGAAAAUUUCGUCAUAUAAGACCCAAACCAAAGAGAGCACUUCAAUUCUUCCAAGACUUGCAUAUUUUUCUGAUUGGCACAGGGCAAAGAAGGCUGUUGCAUUAUGUUUACGCCUUCAAUGUAGAUUCAAGAACCCUGGGAGAGCAACAGUCAACAAAGAACUGACUGAAAACAAAGAAUCCCAAUACACGUCACCUAGUGAACAGAACUUGUGGAAGCUGAAAAUGAAAUCAUAAGGCAAGUCCAAAAUGAAGCUUUCUAAAAGGUGAAACAAGAUUUACAAUGUGCAAACAACGACCAAAGAGAUGGCGAAGAGUUCAAUAUCUUGCUAAUGAAUUUUGGAAUAGGUGGAGAAAAGAAUAUGCUCAAUCGCUUCAGUGCAGGAACAAGUGGCCUUCAGUUAUUAAAAAUGUUAAGGUAAAUGAUAUUGUCAUUGUAAAGGAACAAAAUUUCCCAAGGAAUUCUUGGAAACUUUGUUGUGUAUCUGAGGUUAUGCCAAGCAAAGAUGGUCUUGUAAGAAAGGCUGAUUCCUCGCUUGACGCAUUUGGAAGACGAACGAAAGCAGUCGUUAACCUUGAAAGACCAAUCCACAAACUCAUAUUGUUAGUUGAAUCAUAGUGGAAGUGGGGUGUCCCCGCCAAAGAGCCUAUUUAAAUAUCAAAAUUGUGCCAACAAUUUAUAGUUCCUCAGUAGUAUAGAUAUUAAUUCCACAUUUUGCUCAUUUAAGUACAAUGUAACUAGAGUUUAAGGUAUAUUGUUUAUACAAUUUAGGGGAGCCAUGUUACUGCAGGGACAGAAUGUGUACUUAGUUAAAACAAUCAGUUCCUAUGCUUUGUGAUAUUACUAACAUAAGAUAAGUAUGAAAUAGAUAAGUAUACCCUCAUAUCGUUUUCUAAAGUGUACGACAUCUAUAGGGAAUUUGCAUAACUAAUCUGGGAAAUCAUUGGAAGCCAUUUUGUUACUCAGAGAACCCAAGUGAGGUGUCUGAGUUUAACGGAAACAAUUGGGAAGUAAUUGGGAUAAAAUGGAUGGUAAUGAAUUGCAUGUAAAGAGAAGAAAUCAAGAUGUAUCCAAGAUGCAAUAAAGUGCCAUAAAAAUCA
This is a long non-coding RNA of Penaeus chinensis, 2098 nucleotides long. RefSeq lists it as uncharacterized. The record is from RefSeq and is a predicted model, not a curated record. Lineage: Eukaryota; Metazoa; Arthropoda; Malacostraca; Decapoda; Penaeidae. The transcript has 2 exons.